GGCCGAGAUUGGACUCCAUGAUCCACCAAAAAUAGAAGAUUUCGCCUGCAAAGGGCAAGACUCGUGUCCGCCAUAUUCGGCAGACGCAUCCGGAAUUUCCUACGGCGAGGCAACUGGCAGACUGCAAUGAUCAUAACCGAGGCCUUGUCUGUCCUUUCCUCCUCUCCUGGACACAUACAAGCCCUAAUCCUUUCAUUCCCCAGCCUGCAUCUUUACUUCCUGUUGCUUAGAUCACACAGACACUCAAAAUCCUUUUUGCAGAGGUUGUCUUAAAUUGUAGACAUGGUGAAAACUUUACAUCUCUUAAAAUUAAAUCCAGUAUACGUCCAGAUACAUAUGUAACAUCAUUUAGCUUUAUAAUGAAAAAAACAUAAAAAUGAUGUCAAGAGUUCCGUUUACGCCCAACAUUAAACACUUUAUUGCA
Molecule: long non-coding RNA, 424 nt
Organism: Dicentrarchus labrax (European seabass)
Lineage: Eukaryota; Metazoa; Chordata; Actinopteri; Moronidae
Exons: 2
Source: RefSeq, a predicted model, not a curated record